RNAcentral lists this ribosomal RNA (468 nucleotides) under uncultured bacterium. RNAcentral describes it as "partial 16S ribosomal RNA". It matches the Rfam family "Bacterial small subunit ribosomal RNA", at positions 28 to 507 of the family's 1533-position model. The record is from RNAcentral.
GACGAACGCUGGCGGCGUGCUUAACACAUGCAAGUCGAACGGAAAGGCCCUGCUUUUGUGGGGUGCUCGAGUGGCGAACGGGUGAGUAACACGUGAGUAACCUGCCCUUGACUUUGGGAUAACUUCAGGAAACUGGGGCUAAUACCGGAUAGGAGCUCCUGCUGCAUGGUGGGGGUUGGAAAGUUUCGGUGGUUGGGGAUGGACUCGCGGCUUAUCAGCUUGUUGGUGGGGUAGUGGCUUACCAAGGCUUUGACGGGUAGCCGGCCUGAGAGGGUGACCGGCGACAUUGGGACUGAGAUACGGCCCAGACGGCUACGGGAGGCAGCAGUGGGGAAUAUUGCACAAUGGGCGGAAGCCUGAUGCAGCAACGCCGCGUGCGGGAUGACGGCCUUCGGGUUGUAAACCGCUUUCGCCUGUGACGAAGCGUGAGUGACGGUAAUGGGAAAAGAAGCACCGGCUAACUACGUG